RNAcentral lists this ribosomal RNA (344 nucleotides) under uncultured bacterium. Its description in RNAcentral is "bacterial SSU rRNA". It matches the Rfam family "Bacterial small subunit ribosomal RNA", at positions 8 to 334 of the family's 1533-position model. The record is from RNAcentral.
AGAGUUUGAUUCUGGCUCAGGAUGAACGCUGGCGGCGUGCCUAACACAUGCAAGUCGAACGAAGCACUUAUGUUUGAUUCUUCGGAUGAAGAUAUAUGUGACUGAGUGGCGGACGGGUGAGUAACGCGUGGGUAACCUGCCUCAUACAGGGGGAUAACAGUUAGAAAUGGCUGCUAAUACCGCAUAAGCACACAGUGUUGCAUGACACAGUGUGAAAAACUCCGGUGGUAUGAGAUGGACCCGCGUCUGAUUAGCUAGUUGGUGGGGUAACGGCCUACCAAGGCGACGAUCAGUAGCCGACCUGAGAGGGUGACCGGCCACAUUGGGACUGAGACACGGCCCAA